This 8334-nucleotide long non-coding RNA is filed under the name Lactuca sativa (garden lettuce). Its description in RNAcentral is "long non-coding RNA (LSAT_LNC006047)". The record is from RNAcentral. Lineage: Eukaryota; Viridiplantae; Streptophyta; Magnoliopsida; Asterales; Asteraceae.
UAAACGCCUAUAUUCUAGUAGUGAUAUCAACAAUUCACCAUUUAAGUGUUUGAUUUUAUUUUUACUGAUGGAAUUAAGGAAUUGAAACCUUAGUUGGUGAUGAUAUGUACUUUAACAUUAAGAACUUGUACGUUAGCUUGUUGAUAUGAUUAUGAGAUCAAAUCCUUCUGAUCUAGGUUAGUUAAGGACGCGAUUUGGUUCAAGAUUAUAUUCAACAUGUGAUUCCAUGUGUCUUUUAUAUAUUUGUGAAAGGAAUUGAUGAUUUGAACGGUUAUUCACCAUUAGAAUGGAAUAAUUAGGUUUUUAAAUCAAACUUAUUUCAAGAAUGAAGUGGAGAAUCAAUUGGGCAGGAAAAUCAAGAUGCUUCGAUCCGAUCGUGGAGGAGAGUACCUAAGUCUUGAAUUCCACAAGGAGUGUGGAAUAGUUUCACAAUUGACGCCUCCUAGGACACCGCAGUUGAAUGGUGUGGCAGAAAGGCGUAAUCGAACCUUAUUAGAUAUGGUUCGCUCUAUGAUGAGUCGUGCUUCGCUACCAAUCUCUUUUUGGGGGUAUUCCUUAGAGACUGCCGCCCAUAUCCUUAACCGAGUCCUUACUAAGAAGGUUGCCAAAACACCUCACGAGAUGUGGACAGAGAAAGCUCCCUCGUUGGCACAUAUCAAGGUUUGGGGUUGCGAGGCUUUCGUAAGACGAGAUACUCACGACAAGCUUGAACCUCGAAGUGAGCGAUGUAUUUUCAUCGGCUACCCGCAGACAUCCUUUGGAUAUCUCUUCUAUAGACCGAAGGACAAUGUUGUCUUCGUUGCGAGGAGAGGAGUUUUCCGAGAGCGAGAACUCAUAAGCCAAGGAGACAGUGGGAGGCAAAUCGAACUUGAAGAGAUUCAAGAAUCGAUAGAUGAAGGAACCUCUACCGCUGGCGUUCAACCCGAGGAGGAAACUCCGGUUGAACCGAUUGACGAAUCCUUACCUCUUAGACGUUCCGAUAGAGUUAGAGUUCAUCCCCAGUUUUAUGGCUUUCAUAUUACUACCGAAGGGGACACGUAUAUUAGUGAUGGUACACUAAUAAAUCUUGAUGAACCUAAUAGCUAUAAGGAAGCCAUGGCAGGCCCGGAGUCUGCAAAAUGGAAAGAGGCAAUGGAUAGCGAGAUCCAAUCCAUGUAUGAUAACCAAGUUUGGAAUUUGGUUGAUUAUGUGCCCGGACGUAAGACCGUUGGGUGCAAAUGGAUCUUCAAGAAGAAGACCGACGUGGAUGGAAACGUACACACAUAUAAAGCGCGAUUGGUUGCGAAGGGCUUUACUCAAACUCCCGGAGUUGACUAUGAUGAGACCUUCUCACCAGUUGCGAAGAUUAAAUCUAUUAGAGUGAUGCUAGCAAUUGCCGCAUUUCAUGAUUAUGAGAUUUGGCAAAUGGAUGUCAAGACCGCUUUCCUUAACGGAAAGUUGGCUGAGGAUGUUUACAUGGCUCAGCCAGAGGGGUUUGUGGAUCCGAAGCAUCCGAAUAGAGUGUGUAAGCUUGAGAAGUCCAUUUAUGGACUUAAGCAAGCGUCUCGCAGAUGGAAUCUUUGCUUCGAUGAGAAAGUCAAAGAGUUUGGAUUUGUACGAAGCGAAGACGAAUCUUGUGUAUAUGUCAAAGCCAGUGGGAGUAUAGUAAGCUUCCUCGUUCUAUAUGUCGAUGACAUAUUACUCAUAGGAAACGACAUCCCGACUCUGCAGGAGGUUAAGUCCUGGCUCGGGAAGUGCUUCGCUAUGAAGGACCUCGGAGAGGCUUCUUACAUUUUGGGAAUAAGGAUAGUAAGAGAAAGAAGUAAGAGACUAAUUGGACUUAGUCAGAAUACUUACUUAGAGAAGGUACUAAAACGUUUUAGUAUGGAAAACUCAAAGAAGGGAGAACUACCGAUACAAAGUAAUGCCAAAUUGAGUAAGACUCAAAGUCCGAGUACCGAAGCUGAGAUAGCAGAAAUGAGCCGAGUACCAUACGCUUCCGCAGUUGGCUCAAUCAUGUACGCUAUGACUUGUACUCGCCCUGAUGUAGCCUUCGCUUUGAGCAUGGUUAGCAGAUAUCAAGGGAAUCCUGGCAAAGCACAUUGGAUUGCGGUGAAGAAUAUCCUUAAGUACCUUCGGAGGACGAAGGAAUGGUUCUUAGUCCUCGGAGGGAGUGAUGACUUGAAGGUGCGAGGGUAUAGUGACGCCAGUUUUCAGACCGACAGGGACAACUACCGUUCGCAGUCGGGCUGGGUCUUUACCCUAAAUGGAGGAGCAGUGACAUGGAAGAGUUCCAAGCAGGAAACCGUAGCUGAUUCAACGUGCGAAUCAGAGUACAUUGCAGCGAGCGAAGCGUCGAAGGAGGCAAUAUGGCUAAAGAACUUCAUCGGUGAUCUUGGAGUCGUACCUGCCAUAAAGGAGCCAAUGGAGAUUUUCUGUGAUAACGAAGGUGCGGUUGCCUUAACCAAGGAACCGAGGGAUCAUGGUAGAUCAAGACAUAUCGACAGAAAGUAUCACUUCAUUAGACAUCGUGUAGAAGAAGGACAACUCGUAGUGAAGAGGAUAUCAUCAGAAGAUAACCCAGCAGAUCCGCUUACGAAGGGACUGAGUAGGGUUAAGCACUUGCAGCAUGCUAGGAGUAUUGGGCUGAAGGAUGAUAUUAGCAUAGAUUAGAUAGUAUUAGAAACGUGUAAUAGAUAAAUGUAAUUGACAUUUGAUGAUUAAAUAAAGGAGUUUUAUUUAUGAGUAAUGUUACUAUCUUAUGUUAAUUGUUUAGCUAUUGUUUCACUUUGCAUGUUUUGACUUCCAGAAUAAUUGAGUUUAUUAGGAAUAAUCGAAUUAUUCAAAUGGUCCACAAUCGUUCAUAUGUUGGGAGUAGAUAUGAAAGAAGAUUGUCAUGAAUUGGUGUGUAGAAUGUCUAAAUGGUGUUAGACAUAGCAAAGGAUUGCUGCAACGUUCAUGAGUGCUUAUGAACUAGUUUUGAGCAUUGGAAUAAACCCGCGCUUGCUGGAAUCACCUUAUGGAAUACGAUAUAAAAGGUGAUCGCAAGACGAUAAUAUCAUAUAGUCUUAAAACCUAGAUAUAUGGUUUAUUAUUUGUUAAUUGAUUGUACAUUGAUAAUACGAAAACGCAUCAGUAACUUGGUGUUAUAAAACGUAUUGUUGUGUAUAGUUGGUUAAUGAAUAAGUAAAUGCAUAUAAGUCGAAGUUUAUCUGUAACUUUUAUCUAAGAAGGUAAAAGCGAUAUCUCGGCCGCUCGAUGAUUUGAUUUGACUUAUGUGCCGGGCCCGGUCAGAACUGAAUUGAUGUGUUCGAUUAAGUUCUAUGUCAAAUAAAUCAGAGAUCGAGAAACCUAAAUGCUUGACUAACCAUUCCAUAGGAUUGUCAGCAUGAUAUCUAACAGAGGACUGUACGUUCCCUUAUCUAAAGGACAAGAUUGAUUAGAUCAGAGUUGACAGCGUCUUUGAGAGCUACGAUUGCAAACCGAAUUGUACUUGUAUAGUUACUAGACUUAUCCAAGUGGGAGACUGUUGGAAUAGUGUCUAAGGCUGUAACUAUAUCCGGUUGUGCAUGGUCCUUUUGGGUUGCCUUCACCAUAGCAACUUGAUAGGAUGAUUUAUUAAGAGAGAAUAAAUAUUAUUAAUAUAUUAUGGGAAUAAUAUAAUGAAUAAUAUAUUUGUUAUUUGAUUAAUAUAAGUCAUAGAAUUAAUUAGAAUUAAUUUGGUGACUUAAAGAGAUUAAUUAAAUAAAGGGGUAUAAACUGUCAAUUGUUUGAUAGUUAAGCUUUAAACUGUAAAUCCAUUUGGAUAUACUAUGGACGAAUUCUAAGAGGAUUAGGAUAGCUAAAAUCGUCCAUUAGAGUUAUCUAGGAAUGGAUUUGGAUAGCCUUAAGAGAAGAUUAUCUGAUAGGGACUUAUCUGUAAUCCUUAAGGAGUCUACAAGUAUAAAUAGACCCCAUGGCUGAUGGAAUUCGACACUUGACCUAAAGUAAGGAACCUCUGGUCGAAAUUCCUCCCCUCUCCUCUCUCCCAAAUCAUCCUCCUUGCUUUGGUGUUUGUAAGCCAUUAGAGGAGUGACAUUUGUGACUCUAGAAGCUCCAAGACCUCAAGAUCAACAAGGAACUCAAAGGUAUGAUUCUAGAUCUGUUUUAAUGUUCUUGUUUAACCUAAUUAGUAAUUAGAAGUCUUGGAUUCAAAGCAUGUUUAUUAGAAAGCCUAGAUCCAAGCAUUAGGGUUUUGCAUGCGCACAUAGGAAAGUUCUUAUGGCUAAAACCCAUCAGUGGUAUCAGAGCCUAGCUUGGUUUUCUGUAAAUUGUUGCUUGAUUAACUGAAACAAACCUGCAAAAUUCGAAUUUUUGGUUUCUGAGUCAUGGACUCGGCGAGUCUCAAAGUGGACUCGGCGAGUAGGCCUGACUCGGCGAGUCCAUUUGUGCACUCGGCGAGUCCAGGCGUCAGGAAUGGCCAGAUUCGGGAUUUCUUUGUGUUUAUCUUAUCUUAACUUACCAUAAACUAAUUAGAUCAACAUUAAUUCGUUUUUCUGAUAAAUAUAACUAUUAUCUUGAUCUAGUUAAAGGUAAUUAUCAACUAAUUAAAUAUUUAAUUUCCUUAUAUGAUAAUUAAUUAAUUAUUUUGAUUAUUUUGGUAAUUAUCUUUAAAAGAAAUCUUGAAUAAAUCAAAUAUAGAUAAUUAGGAUAUUAAUUGUUAAUUGGAAUUAUUUGUUAUUUGAUCCUCCAUGUUUUAAAUGUUUAAAACCUACCCUCAUGUUUUGAAAUUUACUUUUGUGAUUAAAAGUUUUAAUUUAGACAACUUAAAUUUCAAACCCUAGAUUUUAAAAGUUUUAAAAUACAACCCUAUACUAAUAUGAUAUUACUAGAAUAAUAUAUAUAUGUAUAACUAAAUGCUAGUCUUACCGUUAGUAGGCCUCAUUCACGAAGCCGAUCUAUAAGGUGGGUAUAAGGUUGCGGCCUAUAAAAUGGCGCUUAAUGGGUGUACACUCACACCCACCGCUUGCUUGAUUGGUGGAGGGUCGUUAGCCGAACGGGUAGGAUAGGGCAACCUCAUCCUCUCAUUAAAAGUAUAAUAAGAAAUAUAAAGUAACUACACAUUUUUUUAAAAUUUCCCAAUCCUAGUUACUUUAGGAAAAGUGAAUUGAUGCAAUCCCAUGAAAUUACACUUUGCACCUUGCUAAGAUGUUAGUGGAGCGUGUGUGGUUUACCGGCACACUAAUUGGUUCUAAGCGAAGGUGGCAAAGGGUGAUUCAUUGUUUAUCAUAGUUCGAUGGAGCGUGUGUGGUUUACCGGCACAUCGAAUAGGUGAUUGUUACAAUGAAGGCACCAUGUGAAUUUGCAUGGUAAUUCACACCCGCUUUGUGAUCCUCGGCAUCCCAGUCACAAACAAGAGGGGCAUAUCGAGAUUUAAACAUGCCAUUGAAUAGUUUCAAUGAAUCUCAUCCGAACCUAGGAAUUCUCAAAAACACUUAGGACUAAUAGUUUAAGUUUUGUGAUGGAGAAUUAGUGAAUCGUCAUUCACUUACCUUCAAUUUAUUUGCAUGUUAGAUUACGGCAUCCCUUUUCUAGUAUGUAAAUGUUAUUGUUGGAUCCUAGCCCUAAUUUUCUUAUUGGGUGAUAAUUAGGGAUUCUUAUUCUAAUCUAUCUUUGUCCUUUUCUAAUUGUAGAUGUCGAACGCAAACAACGCUGCUGCUAGUUCUUUCACGUUGAUGAGCCUUUGCCAAAAGGUCACCUUCGAUGGAACGAACUUUAGCGAAUGGAUAAGAUACAUUCGCACCAUUGCUCGCUAUGAGGAUAAGGAGUAUGUCCUCGAUGAGAAGCUCGAGAAAAUCAACCCCGAAAUUGCUACUCCCGCCGAAAUCACCGCCUUUGAAACUCAUGAGCGAGAUGCAACGAAGGUACAUUGCAUCAUGAUCGCCACCAUGAACUCCGAAUUCCAAAAGUCCUACGAGGACAUGUACCCGUACGAGAUGCAUCAAGACUUAUUGGAGAGGUACCACCAAAACGCGAGACAAGAGAGGUACGAGAUUUUCACUAACAUGAUUUCCGCGAAGAUGGGUCAUGGAGAAUCUCUUACCGUGCACUUGCAAAAGAUGCAAAGGUAUGUUGACCGCCUCCGCAAGUUAAAUGUUGACUUCGGUGAAGACUUGGCGAUCGACAUGGUGCUUCACUCUUUGCCUCCGAUGUACAACCAAUUUAGGAUGACCUACCACAUGAACAAAGAAGAGGUCACCCUAAGCAAGCUCCAAGGUCUCUUGAGGGUUGCUGAGAGCAACUUCAAAGACAAGUCUGUUGCACCUACUCCCAAUCCGCCCGCUGCUCCUGUCUUGGCUAUUGGACAAGGGAAGGGAAAGAAGAGGAAAGCUUCAUCGAAGAACUAUCGCAAGGUGAAAGCCCGAGAUGGUGCCUCUUCUAGUGGGACCAAAGUUGAUCCCGCCAAGCCCUGCUCUAACCCGAAGGAGGCAGAGUGCCACCACUGCCACAAGAUAGGACAUUGGAAGAGAAGCUGCCCGGAUUACCUGCAAGCAAUCAAAGAAGGAAAGAUCAAGCCAUCUUUCGCAGGUAUAUAUACAAUCAAAUCUAACGAUUCUAAUCAUGCUAUUUCUUGGGUUCUUGAUACCGGUUGUGGUUAUCACAUUUGUUCUAAUGUGCAGGGACUAAGAAGAAGUAGGGAUGUGGAGCAAGGAAGGAUCAAUCUAAUCAUGGGGAACAGAAGAUCGUCGCCUGUGACCAAGAUUGGAGUGUAUUCCUUAGUGCUUAGGAAUAGUUUAGUUUUAGAUUUGAACAAUUGUUGCUAUUCGCCAGAAAUGGCAAGAAACAUCAUUUCAUUUCAUGGUUUAUAUAGACAAGGAUUUAGAUUUUCUUUUAAUAAUGAGAAUGGUUCUAUUUUGGCUUAUCUAAAUGGUGUCUUUUACUUUGAAGCUAUACCAUGUAAUGGAAUAUAUGAAACCGUUAUGAUUGUUGAUAACUUAGGAAAUGAUGUUUUGAAUAUUGAUUCUUCCACUAGUAUGGAUAAAGCAUCCUUGUGGCAUUGUCGUCUUGGACAUGUCAACAAGAAACGCAUAGCCCAACUCCAAAAGGAUGGAGUGUUGGAGUCAUUCGACCUUAGGGAAGAUGACACAUGCGAGUCUUGUUUGCUUGGAAAGAUGACUAAGUCACCCUUCACGAGUACAUGUGAAAGGGGCGAGGGUCUAUUGGACCUAAUACAUACCGAUGUAUGUGGACCGUUUAGAUCAACCACGAAGGAUGGGAACCGCUUCUAUGUGACUUUUACCGAUGACUAUAGUAGAUAUGGGUAUAUCUACUUAAUCAAGCAAAAGUCAGACACCUUUGAAAAGUUCAAAGAGUUCAAGAAUGAAGUGGAGAAUCAAUUGGGCAGGAAAAUCAAGAUGCUUCGAUCCGAUCGAGGAGGAGAGUACCUAAGUCUUGAAUUCCACGAUUAUCUCAAGGAGUGUGGAAUAGUUUCGCAAUUGACGCCUCCUAGGACACCGCAGUUGAAUGGUGUGGCAGAAAGGCGUAAUCGAACCUUAUUGGAUAUGGUUCGCUCUAUGAUGAGUCGUGCUUCACUACCUAUCUCUUUUUGGGGGUAUGCCUUAGAGACUGCCGCCCAUAUCCUUAACCGAGUCCCUACUAAGAAGGUUGCCAAAACACCUCACGAGAUGUGGACAGGGAAAGCUCCCUCGUUGGCACAUAUCAAGGUUUGGGGUUGCGAGGCUUUCGUAAGACGAGAUACUCACGACAAGCUUGAACCUCGAAGUGAGCGAUGUAUUUUCAUCGGCUACCCGCAGACAUCCUUUGGAUAUCUCUUCUAUAGACCGAAGGACAAUGUUGUCUUCGUUGCGAGGAGAGGAGUUUUCCGAGAGCGAGAACUCAUAAGCCAAGGAGACAGUGGGAGGCAAAUCGAGCUUGAAGAGAUUCAAGAGUCGAUAGAUGAAGGAACCUCUACCGCUGGCACUCAACCCGAGGAGGAAACUCCGGUUGAACCGAUUGACGAAUCCUUACCUCUUAGACGUUCCGAUAGAGUUAGAGUUCAACCCCAGUUUUAUGGUUUUCAUAUUACUACCGAAGGGGACACGUAUAUUAGUGAUGGUACACUAAUAAAUCUUGAUGAACCUAAUAGCUAUAAGGAAGCCAUGGCAGGCCCGGAGUCUGCAAAAUGGAAAGAGGCAAUGGAUAGCGAGAUCCAAUCCAUGUAUGAUAACCAAGUUUGGAAUUUGGUUGAUUAUGUGCCCGGACGUAAGACCGUUGGGUGCAAAUGGAUCUUCAAGAAGAAGACCGACGUGGAUGGAAACGUACACACAUAUAAAGCGCGAUUGGUUGCGAAGGGCUUUACUCAAACUCCCGGAGUUG